AUUCAGAAUAGAAUUUUCCAGCCCCUCAUUUUCCACUUAGUCUAUUCUUUUGUUCUCGUCUUAAAGAGAGCUAUAAUACUUUUGUUUUGCAUCCGUUCAAGUUCUUCAUGGCUCUUUCUGUUACUGGUUUCAUGCACAUACCACUGCUGACGAAGUCCAACUCUAGCGCACAAAAACCUAUGAAGUUUACCAUAGCACACGCUUGCGACAAUAAUAAUUCAAAGGAAGCAGAAGGGAGAAGGAGAGUUCUAGAAACCAAAAGAAGACAUGAUGGAGGUAAAGAAAGUAGUGAGUUUCAAACAAAUAGUGUAAGAUUAUUCAAAAUCACAACAGAAAGAAGAGGAAUUGUUCCACAAACAAGCAAAAACCAAGAGGGAGGGAGAUGCUAUGAUUCACAAACAAACAGUGUAAGGUUAUUCAAAAGCACAAUAACUGAAAAGAAAGGAAAGAUUCUUCUUGUACAAACGAAAAGAAAACACGACGAGGGAACAAAUUAACGUAGGGCAACUCAAAACCACUAAACAUUUAUUUUUGUACCUGCAUUUAUUUUUUUAUUUUUCUAGAUCAAUAGUUGCCCCUAGACUUUAGAAGCAAAUCAUUUUGGUUUAUUCACGUCUCUUAAAAUCUUGGUUAAAAUCUUGGUUAUGUG
Vigna unguiculata (cowpea) is the source of this 649-nucleotide long non-coding RNA. RefSeq lists it as uncharacterized. The record is from RefSeq and is a predicted model, not a curated record. NCBI's taxonomy places the organism in Eukaryota, Viridiplantae, Streptophyta, Magnoliopsida, Fabales, Fabaceae.